GUGUUACUGCGAAGGGGGGACGGAGAAGGCUAUGUUGGCCGGGCGACGGUUGUCCCGGUUUAAGCGUGUAGGCUGGUUUUCCAGGCAAAUCCGGAAAAUCAAGGCUGAGGCGUGAUGACGAGGCACUACGGUGCUGAAGCAACAAAUGCCCUGCUUCCAGGAAAAGCCUCUAAGCAUCAGGUAACAUCAAAUCGUACCCCAAACCGACACAGGUGGUCAGGUAGAGAAUACCAAGGCGCUUGAGAGAACUCGGGUGAAGGAACUAGGCAAAAUGGUGCCGUAACUUCGGGAGAAGGCACGCUGAUAUGUAGGUGAAGUCCCUCGCGGAUGGAGCUGAAAUCAGUCGAAGAUACCAGCUGGCUGCAACUGUUUAUUAAAAACACAGCACUGUGCAAACACGAAAGUGGACGUAUACGGUGUGACGCCUGCCCGGUGC
This 436-nucleotide ribosomal RNA is filed under the name Escherichia coli. RNAcentral's name for it is "partial 23S ribosomal RNA". It matches the Rfam family "Bacterial large subunit ribosomal RNA", at positions 1448 to 1869 of the family's 2925-position model. Lineage: Bacteria; Pseudomonadati; Pseudomonadota; Gammaproteobacteria; Enterobacterales; Enterobacteriaceae. The record is from RNAcentral.